This 253-nucleotide ribosomal RNA is filed under the name uncultured bacterium. RNAcentral's name for it is "partial 16S ribosomal RNA". It matches the Rfam family "Bacterial small subunit ribosomal RNA", at positions 524 to 776 of the family's 1533-position model. The record is from RNAcentral.
UACGUAGGGUGCAAGCGUUAAUCGGAAUUACUGGGCGUAAAGCGUGCGCAGGCGGUUUUGUAAGUCUGACGUGAAAUCCCCGGGCUCAACCUGGGAAUUGCGUUGGAGACUGCAAGGCUAGAAUCUGGCAGAGGGGGGUAGAAUUCCACAUGUAGCAGUGAAAUGCGUAGAGAUGUGGAGGAACACCGAUGGCGAAGGCAGCCCCCUGGGUCAAGAUUGACGCUCAUGCACGAAAGCGUGGGGAGCAAACAGG